GAUGAACGCUGGCGGCGUGCCUAAUACAUGCAAGUCGAGCGAACGGACGAGAAGCUUGCUUCUUUGAUGUUAGCGGCGGACGGGUGAGUAACACGUGGAUAACCUACCUAUAUUACUGGGAUAACUUCGGGAAACCGGAGCUAAUACCGGAGGAUAUUUUGAACCGCAUGGUUCAAAAGUGAAAGACGGUCUUGCUGUCUCUUAUAGAUGGUUCCGCGCUGCAUUAGCUAGUUGGUAAGGUAACGGCUUACCAAGGCAACGAUGCAUAGCCGAAGUGAGAGGGUGGUCGGCCACAUUGGAACUGAGACACGGUCCAGACUCCUACGGGAGGCAGCAGUAGGGAAUGUUCGGCAAUGGGCGAAAGCCUGACGGAGCAACGCCGCGUGAGUGAUGAAGGUCUUCGGAUCGUAAAACUCUGUUAUUGGGGAAGAACAGCUGUGGAAGUAGACGUGGCCAUAUUGACGGUACCUAAUAAGAAAGCAACGGCUAACUACGUG
Molecule: ribosomal RNA, 497 nt
Filed under: uncultured bacterium
Lineage: Bacteria
Description: partial 16S ribosomal RNA
Rfam family: Bacterial small subunit ribosomal RNA
Source: RNAcentral